AUGGUUUUCACCACCAGAUGACAACACACUACAAACAUGGUAACAUUUUCGGACUAUUUUCUAGGAUCAGAGGCCCAUCUGUUAUUUUCGCUGAACCUGGACGCCCGUACGUGCAAUCCCAGCCAUUAUCCAUAAGAAGCAGAUUAGCAUUCACAUGCUAAAAAGCUAUUUUUUCAGUUGUUGAAUUUGAUGGCAUUGUUGCAUAACGUUCCUCUUCGGUCUUUUCUUGCAUCGUUGAAAAGGAACGCCAUUUCUUUAACCUUCCCUCUUAUUGCUGCCGGUCUCAUCUACUCUGAUUAUUCGUACACUCAAAGGUGUAAAGCACGAGACAUCGCCAGAAACCAAGAACUAAAAAACCUUGAAAAUGUCGAUUAUGAGUAGAGAACUUUCUAUGACAUGGAAAUAUUUGAUGAGGCCGAAAAAUGCUAUGGCCAUCGUCCCACUCAUUGGCCUUUACGUUGGAUGGAAAA
This is a long non-coding RNA of Daphnia pulicaria, 470 nucleotides long. RefSeq lists it as uncharacterized. The record is from RefSeq and is a predicted model, not a curated record. The transcript is spliced from 2 exons. Lineage: Eukaryota; Metazoa; Arthropoda; Branchiopoda; Diplostraca; Daphniidae.